RNAcentral lists this ribosomal RNA (505 nucleotides) under uncultured bacterium. RNAcentral's name for it is "partial 16S ribosomal RNA". It matches the Rfam family "Bacterial small subunit ribosomal RNA", at positions 28 to 507 of the family's 1533-position model. The record is from RNAcentral.
GACGAACGCUGGCGGCGUGCCUAAUACAUGCAAGUAGAACGCACAGUUUAUACCGUAGCUUGCUACACCAUAGACUGUGAGUUGCGAACGGGUGAGUAACGCGUAGGUAACCUGCCUGGUAGCGGGGGAUAACUAUUGGAAACGAUAGCUAAUACCGCAUAAUAUUAAUUAUUGCAUGAUAAUUGAUUGAAAGCUGCAACUGCAUCACUACCAGAUGGACCUGCGUUGUAUUAGCUAGUAGGUGAGGUAACGGCUCACCUAGGCGACGAUACAUAGCCGACCUGAGAGGGUGAUCGGCCACACUGGGACUGAGACACGGCCCAGACUCCUACGGGAGGCAGCAGUAGGGAAUCUUCGGCAAUGGACGAAAGUCUGACCGAGCAACGCCGCGUGAGUGAAGAAGGUUUUCGGAUCGUAAAGCUCUGUUGUAAGAGAAGAACGGGUGUGAGAGUGGAAAGUUCACACUGUGACGGUAUCUGACCAGAAAGGGACGGCUAACUACGUG